UACGUAGGGGGCAAGCGUUGUCCGGAAUCAUUGGGCGUAAAGCGCGCGUAGGCGGCCUCGUAAGUCCGCUGUGAAAGUCAAAGGCUCAACCUUUGAAUGCCGGUGGAUACUGCGAGGCUAGAGUCCGGAAGAGGUGAGUGGAACUCCUGGUGUAGCGGUGGAAUGCGCAGAUAUCAGGAAGAACACCAACGGCGAAGGCAGCUCGCUAGGACGGUACUGACGCUAAGGCGCGAAAGCGUGGGGAGCAAACAGG
This 253-nucleotide ribosomal RNA is filed under the name uncultured bacterium. Its description in RNAcentral is "partial 16S ribosomal RNA". It matches the Rfam family "Bacterial small subunit ribosomal RNA", at positions 524 to 776 of the family's 1533-position model. The record is from RNAcentral.